RNAcentral lists this ribosomal RNA (253 nucleotides) under uncultured bacterium. RNAcentral describes it as "partial 16S ribosomal RNA". It matches the Rfam family "Bacterial small subunit ribosomal RNA", at positions 524 to 776 of the family's 1533-position model. The record is from RNAcentral.
UACAGAGGUCCCAAGCGUUGUUCGGAUUCACUGGGCGUAAAGGGUGCGUAGGUGGUGAGGUAAGUCGGAUGUGAAAUCUCCAAGCUCAACUUGGAAACUGCAUUGGAAACUACCUUGCUAGAGGAUUUGAGGGGGGAUUGGAAUACUUGGUGUAGCAGUGAAAUGCGUAGAUAUCAAGUGGAACACCAGUGGCGAAGGCGGCAUCCUGGACCAUUACUGACGCUGAGGCGCGAAAGCUAGGGGAGCAAACGGG